RNAcentral lists this unclassified non-coding RNA (18 nucleotides) under Mus musculus (house mouse). Its description in RNAcentral is "oocyte_clustered_small_RNA12448". Lineage: Eukaryota; Metazoa; Chordata; Mammalia; Rodentia; Muridae. The record is from RNAcentral.
UGAAUGUGUUCUGAGCCA